UAAUGAAAUGGUUAUAAAACAAAAAAAAUAAAAAAGAAAUUUUAUUAAAAAAUGAUGGCCAAUUAAAUGGCCUUGUUAAGUUAUCUUAUAAAAAUAUGUUGAAAGAUAAAGAAAUAAAAAUAAAAUUUGAACCGUCUAAUUUUAUUUUAAAAUCGAAAGAAAAACAAAUUGUAAAUGUUAUUAUAUAUUCAAAAGUACCACAAAAAUAUGAAUCAAUUAUAACAUGUUCUAUCAUUGAAAUACCAAAAAGGGUAGAAAAAAAAAUUAAUUACGAGUUAGAAAAAAAAGUUACUUUUGAAUCUGAAAUAAAAAAAAACAAUUUACAAACAACUAUUAAUCCUUAUGAAACAAAAAAAAAACAGAAAAUGAAGAAAAUUUUGUAUCAAAAAUAAUUAAAAUAUUAAACAAAGAAAAUAUACAAGUCUGUUUAAUAAAAAAACAGAUUAACGCACAUAUGAUUUUUGUUUUACCACAUAUUAUUAUUUUGUGUGACCAAAAUAAGGAAAUUUUUAAUAAAGAUAUAAUCAAUUUUGGGAAUAUAACAUUAGGCCAAAAAAUAACUAAAACGUUUUUUUUUGAAAAAUUUGACAAAUGCUCCAAUUAACGUAGUGGUAAUCUUUUUUUGUGCGCCUGUGGACGAUAUAUAUACGUGGUUAUGCAUGUACAAAAGGUAGUAGUAAAAUACUAAGGUGUGGUAUAUCUUUGGUUUCUCCCCCACCUUAUAUUUACUUAUUCUGUUUUUUUUUUUUUCAUCUAUGUUACAUUUAUUCCUCAUUCUUUUUUUUUUUUUUUUUUUUUUUUUUUUUUCUUUUUCUUUUUAAGGCCAAAAAACAAAAAGGGAACAGCGUUUUUACAUUUCCCAUCGAUAAAUUAACAUUAAAAGAAAAAAGUACAGAAGCCGUUUCGAUUAAUGUUAACGGCAAUAAUCCUGUUAGUAAUUAUACAGAAGUAAUUCGAUUUAAAGCAUGUAACGAUUAUUCUAUUGAACUUUUUUUAUUAUGUGAAAUUAAAAAUAUAAAAUUGGUUUUACAGAAGACUUUAUAUAUAUUUGAAAAUACCAAAAUAGGAGAUACAAUAAAUGAAAAAAUAGUAAUAAGAAAUGAUGAAGAUACAGACUUAGAUGUAGAAAUUAUAAAUUCAGGAUAUUUUUUUUAUAUAAAAAAUAAAAAAUUUAUAAUAAAAAAAAAUAGUUUUCAUUCUAUAUAUCUAGUAUGUAAUUGUAUUUAUCCAAUCAAUGUAUAUAAAAGAAUAUAUUUUUUAGUACAUUUAAAUAAAAAAAUAUUUUAUAUAGAUGUUAUUUGUAACUUUUCUAUAAGUUAUAAAAUGCCUCCUUUGUCUAUUCAUCACAUAUAUAGAUAUAAAAAUUUAAUUCAUGACAAAAAUAUAGUAUACAAUUCAUAUUAUGAAAAAAAUGAGUAUAUUGAUAUAUGGGAUUUUCCAGUCGAGUUUGAUUCGUAUGAAGAUACUACAUACGAGUUGCUGAAUGAUAUAUUGGAAAUAAGUGAAAAAGACGUAUUUGCAGUACCUAAAGAAUUAGAAGUACAAGAAAUGGAAGAAAAAGAUUUAAUGUUAAUAAAUAAAACGCCAGUUGAAUAUACAUGUGUAUGGUUAAAUGCAGUUGAUAAACAGGAGCAGGGAACUUUUGAAGUAACUCCUAAAGAAGCACCGUUGUUGCCAUUCGGCUAUCAAAAAUUUAGGUACAUUUAUAUAUAUAUAUAUAUAUAUAUAUAUAUAUAUAUAACUAUGUUUGUUCUUAUAUGUAUGUGCAUAUUUUAUUUUGUCCUGUAUAUUUAAUCCUAUUUUCAGUUAUACAUGCUAACCCUUUUUUUUUUUUUUUUUUUUUUUUUUUAAGAGUAAAAAACAUAAAAGGUUUAAAAAAAAAAUAUGUAUGUGAAGUAUACGAAUGUAUUGUGUUUCCGUCUAAUAACAAAGACUAUACGAAAUGUAACAGCAAGACAUUAUUAGCACCUUUUUUUAUAUAUGCUACUUUUUUUCAAUUUAAUACAAAAUAUAUAUGUGAAACAGAAAACGUGCAAGACAGUUUAGUUUUUUAUCCAAAAAAAUAUAUCCUUUUUAAAUAUAAUUGAGGAAGAAUAUAGUUAUGCUAUUGUCAAAUUUGAAAAUAACUCAGAAGUUACUCAAAUUAUUGAUUUCACUCCAUAUAAAAUGAAGCCGAAAGCAUAAAGUAGUAACCGG
Long non-coding RNA from Piliocolobus tephrosceles (Ugandan red Colobus), 2196 nucleotides. Lineage: Eukaryota; Metazoa; Chordata; Mammalia; Primates; Cercopithecidae. The record is from Ensembl.